This 483-nucleotide ribosomal RNA is filed under the name uncultured bacterium. Its description in RNAcentral is "partial 16S ribosomal RNA". It matches the Rfam family "Bacterial small subunit ribosomal RNA", at positions 28 to 507 of the family's 1533-position model. The record is from RNAcentral.
GACGAACGCUGGCGGCGUGCUUAACACAUGCAAGUCGAACGCUGAAGCUCAGCUUUUGUUGGGUGGAUGAGUGGCGAACGGGUGAGUAACACGUGAGUAACCUGCCCCCUUCUUUGGGAUAACGCCCGGAAACGGGUGCUAAUACUGGAUAUUCACUGGUCUUCGCAUGGGGGUCGGUGGAAAGGGUUUUUCUGGUGGGGGAUGGGCUCGCGGCCUAUCAGCUUGUUGGUGGGGUGAUGGCCUACCAAGGCUUUGACGGGUAGCCGGCCUGAGAGGGUGACCGGUCACAUUGGGACUGAGAUACGGCCCAGACUCCUACGGGAGGCAGCAGUGGGGAAUAUUGCACAAUGGGCGCAAGCCUGAUGCAGCGACGCCGCGGGAGGGAUGGAGGCCUUCGGGUUGUGAACCUCUUUCGCUCAUGGUCAAGCCGCAACAAUGGUUGUGGUGAGGGUAGUGGGUAAAGAAGCGCCGGCUAACUACGUG